UACUGAUCAUGGACACCAAUUUGAAGCUUGUCUGUUCCGUGAGCUUUCAAGAUUGCUUGGAGUUCAGCACAUCCACACGACAAGUUACCAUCCCAUCGCAAAUAGAAUGGUGGAAUGAUUCCACUGCAAGCUUAAAGGCGUUAUUCACACACUCAUCAGUGGU
Long non-coding RNA from Octopus sinensis (East Asian common octopus), 163 nucleotides. RefSeq lists it as uncharacterized. Lineage: Eukaryota; Metazoa; Mollusca; Cephalopoda; Octopoda; Octopodidae. The record is from RefSeq and is a predicted model, not a curated record. The transcript is spliced from 3 exons.